RNAcentral lists this ribosomal RNA (448 nucleotides) under uncultured bacterium. RNAcentral's name for it is "partial 16S ribosomal RNA". It matches the Rfam family "Bacterial small subunit ribosomal RNA", at positions 29 to 523 of the family's 1533-position model. The record is from RNAcentral.
AACGAACGCUGGCGGCAUGCCUAACACAUGCAAGUCGAACGAGAUCUUCGGGUCUAGUGGCGCACGGGUGCGUAACGCGUGGGAAUCUGCCCUUUGGUUCGGAAUAACAGUUGGAAACGACUGCUAAUACCGGAUGAUGACGAAAGUCCAAAGAUUUAUCGCCAGAGGAUGAGCCCGCGUAGGAUUAGCUAGUUGGUGUGGUAAAGGCGCACCAAGGCGACGAUCCUUAGCUGGUCUGAGAGGAUGAUCAGCCACACUGGGACUGAGACACGGCCCAGACUCCUACGGGAGGCAGCAGUGGGGAAUGUUGGACAAUGGGCGAAAGCCUGAUCAGCAAUGCCGCGUGAGUGAUGAAGGCCUUAGGGUUGUAAAGCUCUUUUACCCGGGAUGAUAAUGACAGUACCGGGAGAAUAAGCUCCGGCUAACUCCGUGCCAGCAGCCGCCGUAA